RNAcentral lists this ribosomal RNA (467 nucleotides) under uncultured bacterium. RNAcentral's name for it is "partial 16S ribosomal RNA". It matches the Rfam family "Bacterial small subunit ribosomal RNA", at positions 28 to 507 of the family's 1533-position model. The record is from RNAcentral.
GACGAACGCUGGCGGCGUGCUUAACACAUGCAAGUCGAACGAUGACUUCCGAGCUUGCUCGAUUUGAUUAGUGGCGAACGGGUAAGUAACACGUGAGCAACCUUCCCUUCACUCAGGGCUACCCUCGAGAAAUCCUGGUACAUACUGGGUCUGUGCCACUGUCGCAUGGCGGGUGUUGGAAAGUUAUUCGGUGAAGGAUGGACCCGCGGCGUAUCAGUUUGUUGGUAAGGUAGUGGCACACCAAGGCGACGACGGGUAGCCGGGCUGAGAGGGCGACCGGCCACGCUGGGACUGGAACACGGCCCGGACUCCUACGGGACGCGGGAGUGGGGAAUAGUGCAUAAUAGGCGAAAGCAUGAUGCGGCGACGCCGCGUGGGGGAUGACGACCUGCGGGUUGUAAUGCUCUUUCAUCUGGGAAGAAGCGAAAGUGACGGUACCUGCAGAAGAAGCGCCGGCUAACUACGUG